UCACAUGCAAGUCGAGCGGUAACAGAGAGAAGCUUGCUUCUCUGCUGACGAGCGGCGGACGGGUGAGUAAUACUUGGGAAUUUGCCUUUAGGCGGGGGACAACCACUGGAAACGGUGGCUAAUACCGCAUAAUGUCUACGGACCAAAGUGGGGGACCUUCGGGCCUCACACCUAAAGAUGAGCCCAAGCGGGAUUAGCUAGUUGGUAAGGUAACGGCUUACCAAGGCGACGAUCUCUAGCUGUUCUGAGAGGAAGAUCAGCCACACUGGGACUGAGACACGGCCCAGACUCCUACGGGAGGCAGCAGUGGGGAAUAUUGCACAAUGGGGGAAACCCUGAUGCAGCCAUGCCGCGUGUGUGGAGAAGGCCUUCGGGUUGUAAAGCACUUUCAGUUGUGAGGAAAAGUUAGUAGUUAAUACCUGCUAGCCGUGACGUUAAUAACAGAAGAAGCACCGGCUAACUCCGUGCCAGCAGCCGCGGUAAUACGGAGGGUGCGAGC
This 499-nucleotide ribosomal RNA is filed under the name uncultured bacterium. Its description in RNAcentral is "bacterial SSU rRNA". It matches the Rfam family "Bacterial small subunit ribosomal RNA", at positions 51 to 539 of the family's 1533-position model. The record is from RNAcentral.